Long non-coding RNA from Homarus americanus (American lobster), 638 nucleotides. RefSeq lists it as uncharacterized. The record is from RefSeq and is a predicted model, not a curated record. The transcript is spliced from 2 exons. Lineage: Eukaryota; Metazoa; Arthropoda; Malacostraca; Decapoda; Nephropidae.
GCAUUAUAUAAGGCGUCGACAUCUCCCGAGUAACACAACACGUCCACACUUCCACCAACAGGUAUCAUGAAACUGUGGGUGGUCCUCGUGAGCGUCGCCCUACUGGGGGGGACCUGCAGGGCAAGUUAUGGAUGCCUCUUAUGUACUGGAGACGGAGGUGACUCAGGGGCGGCUGCCGGAGGCUCAACUGGGCACCAUCCAAUAGACCACUACUAUGGUUAUGGUAGGGGACCUUAUUAUAAUGGAGGAUCUCACUACGGUAAGGGACCUUAUUAUAAUGGAGGAUCUCACUACGAUAAUGGACCUUAUCAUAAUGGAGGAUCUCACUACGGUAGCGGACCUUAUUAUAAUGGUCCAUAUAUCGUUCGGGCACUUGGUGGCCUCAUUCGUGUUGAUACUGACGAUGAUGGUGGCCACUACGGCCACACCCAUGGUGGCUACCACGGCCACACUCAUGGUGGUUACCACGGCCACACUCAUGGUGGUUACCACGGCCACAAUCAUGGUGGCUACCAUGGCCACACCCAAGGUGGCUACCACGGCCACAAUCAUGGUGGCUACCAUGGCCAUUCUCAUGGUGGCUAUUAUCCCUAUCAUUAAUUUUCUGAGGGAUGCAUAUUAAAAGCUUAAAUCCGAAA